This 809-nucleotide ribosomal RNA is filed under the name uncultured bacterium. Its description in RNAcentral is "bacterial SSU rRNA". It matches the Rfam family "Bacterial small subunit ribosomal RNA", at positions 8 to 796 of the family's 1533-position model. The record is from RNAcentral.
AGAGUUUGAUCAUGGCUCAGAAUCAACGCUGGCGGCGUGCCUAACACAUGCAAGUCGAACGCGAAAGUCCCGCAAGGGAUAAGUAGAGUGGCAAACGGGUGAGUAACACGUGGGUGACCUGCCUUCGAGCGGGGGAUAACGUCCCGAAAGGGACGCUAAUACCGCAUGACAUCCUGCCUUUGAAGAGGUGGAGAUCAAAGCCGGGGAUCGCAAGACCUGGCACUCGAAGAGGGGCCCGCGCCUGAUUAGCUAGUUGGUGGGGUAACGGCUCACCAAGGCAACGAUCAGUAGCCGGCCUGAGAGGGCGGACGGCCACACUGGGACUGAGACACGGCCCAGACUCCUACGGGAGGCAGCAGUGGGGAAUUGUUCGCAAUGGGCGCAAGCCUGACGACGCAACGCCGCGUGGAGGACGAAGACCUUCGGGUCGUAAACUCCUUUCGAUCGAGACGAAUGGUUUCCGGGUGAACAAUCCGGAAAAGUGACGGUACCGAGAGAAGAAGCCCCGGCUAACUCCGUGCCAGCAGCCGCGGUAAUACGGGGGGGGCAAGCGUUGUUCGGAAUUACUGGGCGUAAAGGGCUCGUAGGCGGCCAACUAAGUCAGACGUGAAAUCCCUCGGCUUAACCGGGGAACUGCGUCUGAUACUGGAUGGCUUGAGAUUGGGAGAGGGAUGCGGAAUUCCAGGUGUAGCGGUGAAAUGCGUAGAUAUCUGGAGGAACACCGGUGGCGAAGGCGGCAUCCUGGACCAACACUGACGCUGAGGAGCGAAAGCCAGGGGAGCAAACGGGAUUAGAUACCCCCGUAGUCC